This 550-nucleotide long non-coding RNA is filed under the name Homo sapiens (human). Its description in RNAcentral is "long independently transcribed non-coding RNA 2518 (LINC02518)". Lineage: Eukaryota; Metazoa; Chordata; Mammalia; Primates; Hominidae. The record is from RNAcentral.
GUAUAUUCAUUUAACAAGGGGAGUCUCUGAGGAGCUAUCAAAAACUGCUUGCCAUCUUUCCAAAUCAUCUCUGUCUGCAGUGACCAUGUCUUAAUCCUGAAGGAAAACAAGGUGGAAAUUGAUUUUUACUUCUCUGCAGCUAAGUAUGUGGCAGUCUUGGCCACAUGGUGACUCAGCAGAGGAGCCUAUGUACUGGCUGUCCUGAUGCUCUUCCUGAUUCAACUGAUUCUCUACACUUGAUCUUAGCCAAAAGGCCGAGAAGCAAUGAUUCAACUGAUUCUCAAAAGGACACCGCUGCAGGAAUAAACCCACUUCUAAAUAUGGUACACUUGGAAAGUUGUCCAGCUCGCAAUGUCAGAGUCACAGACUUCAUGCACACUCAUCUCAAGUCAAUGUUAUCUAACACAUUUCCACUAAUUAUUGGAUGACACUAGCAAGAAACUCUGAUAUUUUUCACCUAACCUUUGCUAAUUUAAAUGUGGCCAGCCCACCCUCAUACUGCAUUGUGAUGGGGAUAUAAAAGCCAAUGAAAGAUAUCAUUAAUUGUUAA